GUGCUUGCUUUGGCAGCACGUACACUAAAAUUGGAACAAUACAGAGAUUAGCAUGGGCCCUGUGCAAAGAUGGCAUGCAGAAUCGUGAAGUCGUCCAUAUUUUU
Molecule: small nuclear RNA, 104 nt
Filed under: Moschus moschiferus (Siberian musk deer)
Lineage: Eukaryota; Metazoa; Chordata; Mammalia; Artiodactyla; Moschidae
Source: RNAcentral